Molecule: ribosomal RNA, 458 nt
Filed under: uncultured bacterium
Lineage: Bacteria
Description: partial 16S ribosomal RNA
Rfam family: Bacterial small subunit ribosomal RNA
Source: RNAcentral
AACGAACGCUGGCGGCAGGCCUAACACAUGCAAGUCGAGCGAGGACUUCGGUUCUAGCGGCGGACGGGUGAGUAACGCGUGGGAAUGUGCCCUUCUCUACGGAAUAGCCCUGGGAAACUGGGAGUAAUACCGUAUACGCCCUAUUGGGGACAGAUUUAUCGGAGAAGGAUCAGCCCGCGUUUGUUUAGGUAGUUGGUGGGGUAAUGGCCUACUAAGCCGAGGAUCGAUAGCUGGUUUGAGAGGAUGAUCAGCCACACUGGGACUGAGACACGGCCCCGACUGCUGGGGGGGGCAGCAGCCGGGAAUCUUGGAGAAGGGGCGGAGGGGGGAUCUAGACAUAGGGCGUAGCCGAAGAAGGCCUUCGGGUUGGAAAGCAAUUUUGGUGGGAGAGAAAAAAAGCUCGUUAAGAUGACGAUGUAAUGACGGUACCCAAAGAAUAAGCCCCGGCUAACUCCGUG